CACGUAGGGCGCGAGCGUUGUCCGGAAUUAUUGGGCGUAAAGAGCUCGUAGGCGGCCUGUUGCGUCCGCUGUGAAAGCCCGGGGCUUAACCCCGGGUCGCAGUGGAUACGGGCAGGCUAGAGGUAGGUAGGGGAGAAUGGAAUUCCCGGUGUAGCGGUGAAAUGCGCAGAUAUCGGGAGGAACACCGGUGGCGAAGGCGGUUCUCUGGGCCUUACCUGACGCUGAGACGCGAAAGCGUGGGGAGCGAACCGG
RNAcentral lists this ribosomal RNA (252 nucleotides) under uncultured bacterium. RNAcentral's name for it is "partial 16S ribosomal RNA". It matches the Rfam family "Bacterial small subunit ribosomal RNA", at positions 524 to 776 of the family's 1533-position model. The record is from RNAcentral.